UCCGUAAUGGUGUAGUGGCUAGCAUCUGCCGCUCUCAUUAGCAGAGCAACUAUGAAAAGUGUACCGGCAAGACCGGGGUUCAAUUCCCCGUUACGGAA
Ascodesmis nigricans is the source of this 98-nucleotide non-coding RNA. Lineage: Eukaryota; Fungi; Ascomycota; Pezizomycetes; Pezizales; Ascodesmidaceae. The record is from the annotation of a GenBank genome assembly.